AGGUCACCCGAAAAGAGAACUUAAGAAGGGGAAUUUUUUGGUGGUGCCUGUAGUCUGCCUGAAGCAGCAGGCAAAUUAUCUAUUCCUAAGGGCUAGAGGGAAGAUUUCUAGCAUUACAACCUUCAAAAGUUGCAAGGUGACUGAAACGCAGGUGGCCACGGAAGCAACCAACAUGGUAAUUCAAGGCAUGCAUCGCUAAAUUU
Anolis carolinensis (green anole) is the source of this 203-nucleotide long non-coding RNA. RefSeq lists it as uncharacterized. The transcript is spliced from 2 exons. The record is from RefSeq and is a predicted model, not a curated record. Lineage: Eukaryota; Metazoa; Chordata; Lepidosauria; Squamata; Anolidae.